This is a non-coding RNA of Pelobates cultripes (western spadefoot toad), 700 nucleotides long. The record is from the annotation of a GenBank genome assembly. Lineage: Eukaryota; Metazoa; Chordata; Amphibia; Anura; Pelobatidae.
AGAUCCUACCUCUCAUCAAACAUAUCCAAUCCAUCCCUCUUCACUUCUCCAAGAUCCUGGCUUCAACAGAUGAGCAACGUGUUCUCAUUACCUCAUACAAGUGAUUUCAUCCUGAUAUUUUAUAUGAUUAUUAAUUCACGUACAGUCAUCUUCUUACACCUCUUUGGGCUUCCUAUAUUAAGUGAUUCUCUGGGAUAACUAACAUUUUUUCCAUGAAAUUUGAAUUGUUCCUGUGCUUUCUCUAUAACAUUCCAAUGAGUUAUUCUCUACCACCUCCCUGAUAUAUAUUCUCCCUGGUGUAAUGUGAAGUCCAGUGAAAUGUCUGCAUUCUAAGUCACGGAAUAAGAAUGAAUUAUGUGAUCUAAAAGCUGUGUAUGCACAGCAACAUAACAAAGGGCACAUGCCUGUUUUUUUGCCCCUGUUGGCAAUGUGAAAGGAUUAUGGACUACUGGGCCAAUGGUAGAAGUGAAAAUAGUUAUACUGAAUGUGCAGAGUCUGCUGAAAAGUAAUUUUUCUUUUCUAACCAUGUGUGUGAAUUCUAGUGUCUGUGUGAGUGUAAAUACAGGAUGUAUGAUGAAAGGAUCGAUGAUGCCGUAACCAAAGUGUUUAAUCAGUGGGCCUGUAGCUUAUCAUCCAUAUGUUAAGAGUAUGAAUAAGAGUGUGAUAUGAGAUUUUACUUUUUUGUAAACAUGUUUGUUUU